AGAGAGAACUCAAAAUCCAACCCAUUCAAAUACUGAAAGUUUAGGAUACCUUCCCUAUUUAUUAAGUACACAGAUAUAACUUUCAGGUAUUUUAAUCUUUGUCUUGAUAUAACAAUGUCAUCAAGUUCAUACUUUCAAAUCUAUGACUGUCUAGAAAUCAUGCUGAACCAUCAAAGGCAGAUGAUCAAAACAAGUGGAUUAAGCCAAAUAAUAAUUUACAAUCCAAACCACAUACAUCAAUAAUUAUCUGAUAUUGAAAUUAACCCUGAUCCAGUGCAUAGGCCAGAUAUAAGAUGAAACAUGCAGAGAGAAAUAUUGUAGUGAAUGUUAAAUAACCAGGCAAAUGGAAAAGAAUAAUCUAUAACCAUUUAGACUCAUUUAGGUAGGUAAAAAUUUUCAAUCAUUUAAAAACAAUUAAAAUGAAUAGAAGCAACAUUUUAAACAAAUAGACUCCAAAUGUUAGCAUAAAAACAUCAGAGUUGGAUAAUGAAACAAGGAGUAAAGUCAAACCCACCCAUGGUACUGUGCUAGAAUCCAUAAACAUGAUAAAUACAAACCU
This 559-nucleotide unclassified non-coding RNA is filed under the name Hevea brasiliensis (rubber tree). The record is from RNAcentral. Lineage: Eukaryota; Viridiplantae; Streptophyta; Magnoliopsida; Malpighiales; Euphorbiaceae.